RNAcentral lists this transfer RNA (67 nucleotides) under Nipponacmea nigrans. RNAcentral describes it as "tRNA-Met". The record is from RNAcentral. Lineage: Eukaryota; Metazoa; Mollusca; Gastropoda; Lottiidae.
GCCAAAAUAGGUUAAUAUAAACUAGGGGACUCAUAACCCUCUGUUGCCUGUGUGAAGGCUUUUGGUA